Molecule: unclassified non-coding RNA, 336 nt
Filed under: soil metagenome
Description: partial contains 5.8S ribosomal RNA, internal transcribed spacer 2, and large subunit ribosomal RNA
Rfam family: 5.8S ribosomal RNA (bases 1-120)
Source: RNAcentral
GAUGAAGAACGCAGCGAAAUGCGAUAAGUAAUGUGAAUUGCAGAAUUCAGUGAAUCAUCGAAUCUUUGAACGCACAUUGCGCCCGCCAGUAUUCUGGCGGGCAUGCCUGUUCGAGCGUCAUUUCAACCAUCAAGCCCCCGGGCUUGUGUUGGGGACCUGCGGCUGCCGCAGGCCCUGAAAAGCAGUGGCGGGCUCGCUGUCACACCGAGCGUAGUAGCAUACAUCUCGCUCUGGGCGUGCUGCGGGUUCCGGCCGUUAAACCACCUUUUAACCCAAGGUUGACCUCGGAUCAGGUAGGAAGACCCGCUGAACUUAAGCAUAUCGAUAAGCGGAGGA